This 451-nucleotide ribosomal RNA is filed under the name uncultured bacterium. Its description in RNAcentral is "bacterial SSU rRNA". It matches the Rfam family "Bacterial small subunit ribosomal RNA", at positions 354 to 796 of the family's 1533-position model. The record is from RNAcentral.
AAUCGGAAUAUUUGUCAAUGGGCGAAAGCUUGAACAAGCAAUGCCGCGUGAGCGAUGAAGUCCUUCGGGACGUAAAGCUCUGUGUUACGGGACGAAAACCCAGCACGUAAACAAUAUGCUGGUCUGACGGUACCGUAAUAGAAAGCCCCGGCUAACUACGUGCCAGCAGCCGCGGUGAUACGUAGGGGGCAAGCGUUGUUCGGAAUUACUGGGCGUAAAGGGCGUACAGGCGGCUUUGUAAGUCAGAUGUGAAAUCCUCGAGCUUAACUUGAGAACUGCAUUUGAUACUGCUUGGCUUGAGAUCAGGAGAGGAAAGCGGAAUAUGUGGUGUAGCGGUGAAAUGCGCAGAUAUCACAUAGAACACCGGUGGCGAAGGCGGCUUUCUGGCCUGACUCUGACGCUGACGCGCGAAAGCUAGGGGAGCGAACGGGAUUAGAUACCCGAGUAGUCC